UAUAAAACAAAGAUAGCCCAAUUCACCUCUCUGUCUUUAAAAACAACCAGUAAACUCUGGCAUUGGUCUAAAAACUUCAAAUUUACCAUCCUUAAAAAGUAAUUGGUGAGUGUUCUGUUGGUUUUUUUUCAUGUAUCUACAAAGACUAAGUAAACUAGAAGUAAAUAUUUGAAUCAAUUAGAAUAAACCCCUAUUUUUGUUUGGUUGUUUCCUAGAAAUAGUGAGUUCAAAAGUGCAUGGUAAACACAUAUGUAGCAUUGCACAUAUAUGUAUGGGGUGUGUGUGUUUAUGAUUGUGCAUAGGUACAUGCAUACACCUACACAUAGGUAUUGAUAUAAUGUAUUAUACAAUAAUACAUACAUUUUAUGAAGAGAAUACAUUUUUGCAGACACAGGUUGGCCUAAUGACAAUUGAUAUUAUAAUCAUUACAUAAGACAUACUCAUGAUACAUCAUUUAUUGCUUUUGGGUUUAAUCCAUUCACUCUGUAGAGAGGAUAUGAAAAUACUAUGUGGCAAUUUCAGUGGAGAAGCAUUUAUAUUUUUACAUCCCCAAUCUUUCAGAGUUAUCUGGUCCACAAUUAUUUUCCCAUAUAUUAUGUUUAUUGUCUUACAGAACAAUAUAAAAUAAUGAAUCUCUUCUAUUUUGAAUGUAUCUCAAUUUAUUUUCAUAACAUUUAAGUGACAUUGCUGAAUUUUGACAUAUAUGGCAUAACAAGCUUUCAAAGAAAGACACUUCAAUUUUUCUAAGUAAAAUUCAAGUGGUGGAAGCUGAAGUUAAUGGCCAUCCAGAGAGAGAACUGACCUGCCAUGGGCAAGUGAUGUGCCCUAGGCAUCAAUCAAUUUGAUUUACAGAGGCAACAGGGCUCAUCGACUGGUCCAGCAAGUGGUUAAGUGUAGAAGGCUGGCUGAUAAAGUUUGUAGUGUUUAAAACAAAUUCUGCUGAGGAAAAUCAUUCUUACUUGAAUUAUCUAGAAUGAUUAAAUUUAUUAGUGGAAAUGUCGGGUUGUGUGGUAUUAUGGUUGCCUUGCAUUGCGGCAUGGCAUCGUUAUCAGCAUCUUUCUUCCAGUGAGAAUUAGUCUAUCUAUUAGGAUACAAUAAUAUUGAUUUAGUUUUUCGAAGAGCAAGAGGAACCCAAUUCUUAUUGAAAAAUAGGAAAUACAUUGCAGAAACUAAAUUAUAGAUAUUAAUGUAUAACAGAACAUUAGAAAAAGCCAGUAUGUAACUCACAUUCAUAUUAUGUAGUAAUGUAAACAUCUAAGUGUAUGGUCAUCCUUAUAAAAAUCAUAGUUGGGUGUUGGGCAGUUAAUGAAGAUCACUGUAGAAUAUAACACUAAGAAAGAUAGCAUACCAGAGAUUAGUAUGAAGAAAAAAUAUCUGAAGUCAAUGAAAGAUCCAAGGCAUGAGUCAGCCAGCAAAAAACUUCUGGCAGGUUAAGUAUAGAUGAGUUGUAUGUGGUUAAAAAGUACCUUUCCCAAGAGUUGAGUAUUUGCAUUCUUUUUCUGAGAAAAAAUGAGUUCUAAAGUUUCUUAUUAAAAUUAAGAGAAGUCUGUGCGAAUGUCAGUGUUUAUGAACGGGCUCCGCCAUUCAGCUUGAUCCUACUGGAAGUCACUGUGGAAAGAGACCACAACUUUCCUAUUCCCCUUUUUAGGUUUUCUUCCUCUCAAUUUCAUGUUCUUCUAGCUCCAUCCAUA
Papio anubis (olive baboon) is the source of this 1691-nucleotide long non-coding RNA. The record is from Ensembl. NCBI's taxonomy places the organism in Eukaryota, Metazoa, Chordata, Mammalia, Primates, Cercopithecidae.